UGUGGGAGCUGGCUUGCCUGCGAUAGCACCACCUCGGUAUCACUGAUGCACCGAGUUGCUGCUAUCGCAGGCAAGCCAGCUCCCACA
RNAcentral lists this unclassified non-coding RNA (87 nucleotides) under Pseudomonas poae. The record is from RNAcentral. Lineage: Bacteria; Pseudomonadati; Pseudomonadota; Gammaproteobacteria; Pseudomonadales; Pseudomonadaceae.